Molecule: transfer RNA, 68 nt
Filed under: Xyleus modestus
Lineage: Eukaryota; Metazoa; Arthropoda; Insecta; Orthoptera; Romaleidae
Description: tRNA-Asp
Source: RNAcentral
AAGAGGUUAGUUAAAAAAUAACAUUAGAAUGUCAAUCUAAAAUCACUACUUAACCAGGGUACCCCUUG